GCCCGUUUAGCACAGUGGUAGUGCGUUCCACUCGUAACAUGUUGCAAUGGAAAGGUCGCUCGUUCAAUCCGGGCAGGGGGCA
This is a transfer RNA of Sphaerobolus stellatus SS14, 82 nucleotides long. It matches the Rfam family "tRNA". Rfam says of the family: Transfer RNA (tRNA) molecules are approximately 80 nucleotides in length. Their secondary structure includes four short double-helical elements and three loops (D, anti-codon, and T loops). Further hydrogen bonds mediate the characteristic L-shaped molecular structure. tRNAs have two regions of fundamental functional importance: the anti-codon, which is responsible for specific mRNA codon recognition, and the 3' end, to which the tRNAs corresponding amino acid is attached (by aminoacyl-tRNA synthetases). tRNAs cope with the degeneracy of the genetic code in two manners: having more than one tRNA (with a specific anti-codon) for a particular amino acid; and 'wobble' base-pairing, i.e. permitting non-standard base-pairing at the 3rd anti-codon position. Lineage: Eukaryota; Fungi; Basidiomycota; Agaricomycetes; Geastrales; Sphaerobolaceae. The record is from Rfam.